Molecule: ribosomal RNA, 279 nt
Filed under: uncultured Porphyromonas sp.
Lineage: Bacteria; Pseudomonadati; Bacteroidota; Bacteroidia; Bacteroidales; Porphyromonadaceae
Description: partial 16S ribosomal RNA
Rfam family: Bacterial small subunit ribosomal RNA
Source: RNAcentral
AGAGUUUGAUCCUGGCUCAGGAUGAACGCUAGCGAUAGGCUUAACACAUGCAAGUCGAGGGGCAGCAUGAACUUAGCUUGCUAAGUUUGAUGGCGACCGGCGCACGGGUGCGUAACGCGUAUGCAACUUGCCUUACAGAGGGGGAUAACCCGUUGAAAGACGGACUAAUACCGCAUACACUUGCUUGGUUGCAUGAUCGGGCAAGGAAUAUUUAUAGCUGUAAGAUAGGCAUGCGUCCCCAUUAGCUGGUUGGUGAGGUAACGGCUCACCAAGGCAACG